This 841-nucleotide ribosomal RNA is filed under the name uncultured bacterium. RNAcentral describes it as "bacterial SSU rRNA". It matches the Rfam family "Bacterial small subunit ribosomal RNA", at positions 8 to 848 of the family's 1533-position model. The record is from RNAcentral.
AGAGUUUGAUCCUGGCUCAGGAUGAACGCUGGCGGCGUGCUUAACACAUGCAAGUCGAACGGAGAAUAUCUUAACAGAGAUUUCGGUUGAAGUUUUGAUAUUCUUAGUGGCGGACGGGUGAGUAACGCGUGGGCAACCUGCCUCAUACAGGGGGAUAACAGUCAGAAAUGACUGCUAAUACCGCAUAAGCGCACAGGAGCGCAUGCUCCGGUGUGAAAAACUCCGGUGGUAUGAGAUGGACCCGCGUUGGAUUAGCUAGUUGGCAGGGCAAUGGCCUACCAAGGCGACGAUCCAUAGCCGGCCUGAGAGGGUGAACGGCCACAUUGGGACUGAGACACGGCCCAGACUCCUACGGGAGGCAGCAGUGGGGAAUAUUGCACAAUGGGGGGAACCCUGAUGCAGCGACGCCGCGUGAAGGAAGAAGUAUCUCGGUAUGUAAACUUCUAUCAGCAGGGAAGAUAAUGACGGUACCUGACUAAGCAGCCCCGGCUAACUCCGUGCCAGCAGCCGCGGUAAUACGGAGGGGGCGAGCGUUGUUCGGAGUGACUGGGCGUAAAGCGCGCGUAGGCGGUGUGGUAAGUCAUUAGUCAAAGGCGGCGGCUUAACUGUCGUAAGGCUAGUGAUACUAUUACGCUGGAGUGUCGGAGAGGAUUGCAGAAUUCCUGGUGUAGCGGUGAAAUGCGUAGAUAUCAGGAGGAAUACCUGUUGCGAAGGCGGCAAUCUGGUCGAUAACUGACGCUGAGGUGCGAGAGCGCGGGUAGCAAACAGGAUUAGAUACCCUGGUAGUCCACGCUGUAAACGAUGGAUACUAGGGGUUGGUGGGGAAUAGCCCUCGGUGCCG